AAAAAUUGUUGAAGGGCCGCGGUAUUUUGACCGUGCAAAGGUAGCAUAAUCAUUAGUUCUUUAAUUGUGAUCUGGUAUGAAUGGUUUGACGAGACAUAAGCUGUCUUAAGAGUAUUGAUUGUUGAAUUUGAUUUUUGAGUUAAAAUACUUAAAUGUUUUUAUGGGACGAGAAGACCCUAUAGAGUUUAACAGAUUUUUUGUUUGUUUGUUGUUUGUUUGGUAUUUAUUGAACAUUAGGUUUGUUUUGUUGGGGUGAUGGGAGGAAGUAUAUUUAACUCCUCUUYGUUUUUAUAUAUUUAUUUAUAUGU
This 308-nucleotide ribosomal RNA is filed under the name Paraconvexitermes acangapua. RNAcentral's name for it is "partial 16S ribosomal RNA". The record is from RNAcentral. Lineage: Eukaryota; Metazoa; Arthropoda; Insecta; Blattodea; Termitidae.